This 1392-nucleotide long non-coding RNA is filed under the name Homo sapiens (human). RNAcentral describes it as "HSALNT0022327". The record is from RNAcentral. Lineage: Eukaryota; Metazoa; Chordata; Mammalia; Primates; Hominidae.
AAUAUUCACCUUACAAUGUUAGUGUAUACCCAACCAUAGAGAAAUCUAUUAAAAGUCAUCUCGCUGCAUCCCCAGGGAAAGCGCAUUCAUGGUAUGCCCUGUAUGGUAUGCCCUGUACGGUAUGCAAGGUUCACAGCCGAAGGAAGAGAGGGCCCAAGUGCAAAAACAUCUUUAAGCGAACGUCGGUCGCCACGUGCACUUACUGUGUACCUCCCACCCCAAACCUCAGGAUAGAAAGACAUAAAUGGGUCCAGAAGCCACAGAAGCGUCUUCCUCCCUGCUCCUAGUCAUCCCUUUCGCUUUCCAUUCUCACCUGGCCUCCCCCAGGCCUCGCCUUCUUCCCUCUUUACUCCAUUCCCUAACUCCUGCCUCGUAGGCAGCGGUGGGGAGCCGCAGGCUGCUCCCCGAGUCCCAACGCUACUAGGGUGCUGUAACAGUGAUGAGGCGGCGUUGCAGUCUGGCUAGGCGCUGCAGCGGGCACCAGCUACGUUUUGCUGUCGGCGGCAGUUACCCGGACGCAAGUUAAGGGGGUCAUCUAUCUUCUGAGGCAUCUUCCUUCUCUCGGGAUUCUAUUUGGGUAGCUCUCUUCAAUUCCCCAAACAGAACAACUGUUAGUAUUUCACAAAGGCCUUCAGUACAUCUUUAUUAAUCUGACUGCCUGGUUGCAGUUACAUUUGAGAAUAAGACUGAGAUCAAAUUCCACGUUUAGAGUGAGAAAUGACUGCAGUUGAAGACUUGGUUGCAAGAGUCUAAGAAGACACCUCAGGGAGAGAGACAGGAUCCAAAACAAGAUUGCUGGCUGAGGAAUGGGACAAGUCACCAGCUCAGAAGUCUCAGGACCAGCGACAUCAAGAGCAGGAAGUGGCCAGUGCCUCAACUUCACUCCCCUCUCCCUCCUGGAACAGGCCCUCCAUCACCGUAGAUAAUUCAUGUCACUGAAUGGAACAUGUAAGCCAUCUCACUUCUUUUUGUCUUCACAAAUGCUUUAAACACAGGCUUGGAAAAUCUGUGGGCUUCUCACACGUUCUCAGAUAUAUUCCUUUGCACCUAACUGGAGUGAAAUGAUAUGGUGCUCAGUGGAAGGAAUCUGGUUGUGCCAGCAGAGGUUGGGGCUAUGGAACCAUGUAACUGGAAGCAAGCAGUGAAAGAAACCUGGAAACUCCUGUCACCCUGUGCCUCAGUGCAGGCUGGCUCAGCAGCAUCAACUUAAUGUUCUGUGUGGGAUGCUAGCACAUUUGUGUUUGGAGCCUGGUAAUUAGAUUGUGAGCAGGAGGCAAAAUCCCAGCAAUCUGGUGGCAUGGACAAAUCUUGGUGUCAGAAGGCAUGGUGUGUUGAGGCUUAACAAUCUCAGCUCUAUUUUUGUCUAUCACCCCUUUGAUACAUGUCAAAAAA